CUUUCCCUUCACACCAACGGAGAUGGAGAUUUUCUCCGUUGAAAUGAAAACGUGUUAGCUGCUUGCUGGGCGCUUCUGUGACAUUAUUUUUAUUUUCAAAUUUUCAUUUUUCCGUUUUGUACGUUGCCAAGAUAGGAAAAACAGCUUCUUGACGCUGAAAGACUCAUUUUGUGAAUCUCCGGAAAUUAAACCCAGCCUGUCCAGCUGUCCAUCGUCUGUCCUUCAUCAAAAAGAGGAACACAACGCAGAGCCGAGGCGAAGCCGGUAACAUAAAGGUUCACACCAUUGGAAAAGGAGAAAAAGGUCUGGCCAAGAAACUGGACUGUGGAAGUAGAACCGUCUAUAUUGAAUGGCAGCAUCCACACCUGAUGCAAAACCAGAUUUGUUGGAGGCAAAAUGGAAAUCACUGGUGAACUGCCUCCAUACUUCACCUGAAGGAAAGGACUACAACAAACUGACUGAUUCCAGGCUGCAACCCUCAACUACUGAGCAGUGCCGGAUCUGCCAUGGAUCUGCUGACUUUAAGGAGGAGGAUGUCUGCGCCGAGAUCAUCAGUGUUUGCCAGGAGGUGACACCAGAGGAGAAGCUUCCUGAUGCUGUUGAUGUCGUACAUUGGGUUGGGAAAAGUUUCCAGGAUAAGGCCUCUUGGCUUCCUUCUGAGGUUAGUUUCCAGGAGGUUAAGAAAGACAAUCUAGAAAUAAUUGUGCCUUUCUUGCCAAAAGACUUGCAAAAAGAAUCCAGGGAUGAUAGAAACUGUGGCCUUUAAGAAAGAAAGCAAGAGAAGAAGAAAAGUUAUCUCACUCUGUUGAUGGUAGAGGGUUUAGUAGUAGCUCUGAAAUUCAUCCAGAAUUAUUUUACUGCAACAUAGGAAGUGGAGGUAAAAACUAAAUCCUUAAGGAAAUGUUAAAAUGACAGUGUUGUGUAGAGUUGUCAUUCAUGAGUGUUUAGUUCAAAUGAACAAAUCAUUUGUGUGAACAAACUGAGCGAAUCGCCAGUGGUGGGCCCAGCCGUGCUAAGAGGCAAACAUAAUGGCAGAGCUAGCUUUUCAUCCAUUGCAUU
Molecule: long non-coding RNA, 1059 nt
Organism: Fundulus heteroclitus (mummichog)
Lineage: Eukaryota; Metazoa; Chordata; Actinopteri; Cyprinodontiformes; Fundulidae
Exons: 4
Source: RefSeq, a predicted model, not a curated record